RNA transcript from Quercus lobata, 3049 nucleotides. It is a transcript of the gene named putative leucine-rich repeat receptor-like serine/threonine-protein kinase At2g19230, with no coding region annotated. Lineage: Eukaryota; Viridiplantae; Streptophyta; Magnoliopsida; Fagales; Fagaceae. The transcript is spliced from 13 exons. The record is from RefSeq and is a predicted model, not a curated record.
UCACGUGUGAAUGACAAAUUUCAUUGAACAACAAUAUUGGCUUGAAUGAGUUCAACAAUUUGGAAGAUUCAAAGCAAGGCAACGUACGAUGGAUAAAGUGUAAAUUUCAAAGCUUGAAGCAGGAGCAAUUGAUUUAUAGCCUCUUCCAUGUUCUUCUUAAGCUGCUCAACAACCAGUGCAAAAGAAUCAUUGAUUUACUGGAUACAUCUUUUCCAUAUAUCUUCACUAACACAAUAUCUCAUUCUAUUUCUCCACGGUAGAUGGGUGGGGUAUAUGGAAACAAAUGGUCUCUGGAUUCAAUGAUGUGGUUAACUUUUGCAUCGGUGUUUGGCUUGUGGGCAUUUACUGUAAGUUCAGCUAAUUUGGUUUCAGAAAGGGAGUUUGGUAAUUACAAACAUGGUAGAAGGAAACUAGACGACAUAGGAGGUUCCAUAAGCAUUGAUUGUGGGAUUCUGGAUGAUUUCGGAUACACUGAUGACAAAACUGAGAUAGAAUACAUUUCAGACAAAUACAUUGACUCUGGAGAGAAUAAGAACAUAUCUUCCAAGUUCAAUCUUGAAACCCUUCAAAAAUAUCUAUGGAAUGUUAGAAGUUUUCCUCAGGGAAACAGGAAUUGCUACACCAUUAGGCCUCAUGAAGGCAAAGAUACUAACUACUUCAUCAGAGCCACCUUCAUGUAUGGGAAUUAUGAUGAGCAGGACAAGUUGCCAGAAUUUGAUCUAUAUAUUGGAGUUAAUCUUUGGGACAAAGUAAAGUUUGAGAAUGAAUCUCAUAUUGUCAUCAAGGAGAUUAUACAUUUUUCUUUGGUGGAUGACAUAAAUGUUUGCCUCUUAAAUACUGGCUCAGGAACUCCUUUCAUAUCAGCACUAGAGCUGAGGCACUUCCAUAAUUCAACUUAUGAAAUCUCAUCUAAUAAAUCCUUGGCUCUGUACAGUCGUUUCGAUGUUGGUUCAACAGCUGGUCGAAUAAUCCGGUACAAAGAUGAUGUUUAUGAUCGAAUGUGGUUUCCUUAUAACACUCCUCAGUCGAUACCGUUCAACACCUCCUUUGCUAUUGAUAGCGCGACUCAAUUUCAAUAUAAACUGCCAUCAAUUGUCAUGACCACGGCAGUUAAACCCAUGAAUAAUGUUUCCCUUGAUUUUGAAGUGGAUAUUGUUGAUCCCAUUUUCUAGUGUUACAUAUACCUGCAUUUUGCCGAACUUGAUAAACUCCAAGAGAAUGAAUACAGAGAAUUCAACAUUAAUCUAAAUGGUAAACCCUGGCUGGAAGCCAGUGUUGUUCCUAAUUACCUGUAUUCAACUACUAUAUAUAGCACCGUGCCAGUGAGGGGACCUAAGCUCAAAUUUUCUAUUAACAAGACAGAAAAUUCCACCCUUCCUCCUAUUCUCAAUGCAAUGGAAGUUUACAUAGUGAAAGACUUCUUCCAAGCACCAACAGACCAAGAAGAUGUUAUUGCCAUCAUGGACAUCAAAGUGAGCAAUGGGGUAACUAAAAUCUGGCAAGGAGAUCCAUGUCUGCCACGACCUGCAUGGGAUGGCCUGAAUUGCAAAGACAAUGGUUACGAGCCCCCUAUAAUCAUCUCCUUGAAUCUAGGCUCAAGUGGAUUGACAGGAAAGAUAUCUCCUUCAAUGGCUAGGUUUAAAUCAUUAGAGUACCUGGAUUUAUCAAACAAUAGCUUAACAGGACCACUACCAGAAUUUUUGUCACAAAUGCCAAACUUAAGAACCCUGAAUUUGUCAGGAAACGAACUCUCUGGUUCAGUUCCUUCCGCUCUCCAAGAAAGAUCAAAUAAUGGUUUUCUGUCAUUGAGUGUGGAUGGAAAUCCAGACCUUUGUGUGAUGGCUCCAUGCAAAAAGGAGAAAAAGAAUUUUGUUGUCCCGUUAAUUGCAGCCACUGUCUCAGCUCUAGUUGUCUUAACUAUGCUAGUUGUUUGUUGGCGCUGCAAAAGAAAACAAGCUGCAAAGCAACUUCCAAGAACUCACCAAGGAGGCAGGCCACUGAAGUCAGACAAUCGACAAUUCACAUACUCUGAGGUUGUAAGUAUAACCAAUAACUUUCAGAAAAUUGUUGGGAAAGGGGGAUUUGGAACGGUAUACCUUGGAUGCCUAAGUGAUGGCAUGCAAGUUGCAGUCAAAAUGCUCUCUCCAUCAUCAACUGAUGGCUCAAACCAAUUUCUCACAGAGGCUCAGCUCUUGAUGCGGGUUCAUCAUAGAAACUUAACUUCCUUUGUUGGAUACUGCAAUGAGGGUACAAAUUUUGGGAUCAUCUAUGAGUACAUGGAGUAUGGGAACUUAGAAGAGCAUCUAUCAGAUAAAACAAGAGACGCUUUGAGUUGGAAAGAGAGACUUCAGAUUGCAGUUGAUGCGGCACAAGGCCUAGAGUACUUGCAUCAUGGUUGCAAACCACCUAUAAUUCACAGAGAUGUGAAGACAGCCAACAUUUUAGUGAAUGAAAAACUGCAGGCCAAGAUAGCUGAUUUUGGUUUCUCAAAAUUCUUCACUGAAGGUCAAAGUCAUUUAUCCACUGCUAUUGUUGGCACGAUGGGUUACCUUGAUCCAGAAUACUACACUUCCAACAGGUUAACUGAGAGAAGUGAUGUGUACAGCUUUGGAAUUGUACUUUUGGAGCUGAUCACAGGCAAGAGAGCAAUAAUAAAAAGCCAUAACAAGGAUAACACUAAUAUUGUUGAUUGGGUUAGCCCCCUUCUUGCUAGAGGGGAUAUAAGAAAUAUCAUUGAUCCGAGAAUGCCUGGAAAUUUUGACACAAAUUCGGUUUGGAAGGCAAUAGAGACAGCAAUAGCAUGUGUGCCAUUAAUUUCCAUCCAAAGGCCAAGCAUGAGCCAUGUGGUGAUUGAAUUGAAGGAGUGCUUGGAGAUAGAAAAGGUUCAUGAACAAGAUUGUGGUCCAAUGACGAAAUCAUUCAACGACACAUUUGAAGUGAACCCUUUGGGCCUUGAGAUGGAUAUGGUUCCCCAGGCAAGGUAGUACGUACUAGGUAGCCAAUUGCUGGUUUUGAGUAUAAUACAAACGAUCCAAGUUGUUGAUCGUAA